This 467-nucleotide ribosomal RNA is filed under the name Microbacterium sp. 'ARUP UnID 410'. Its description in RNAcentral is "bacterial SSU rRNA". It matches the Rfam family "Bacterial small subunit ribosomal RNA", at positions 27 to 506 of the family's 1533-position model. Lineage: Bacteria; Bacillati; Actinomycetota; Actinomycetes; Micrococcales; Microbacteriaceae. The record is from RNAcentral.
GGAUGAACGCUGGCGGCGUGCUUAACACAUGCAAGUCGAACGGUGAAGCCCCGCUUGCGGGGUGGAUCAGUGGCGAACGGGUGAGUAACACGUGAGCAACCUGCCCUGGACUCUGGGAUAAGCGCUGGAAACGGCGUCUAAUACUGGAUAUGAGACACAACCGCAUGGUUAGUGUUUGGAAAGAUUUUUUGGUCUGGGAUGGGCUCGCGGCCUAUCAGCUUGUUGGUGAGGUAAUGGCUCACCAAGGCGUCGACGGGUAGCCGGCCUGAGAGGGUGACCGGCCACACUGGGACUGAGACACGGCCCAGACUCCUACGGGAGGCAGCAGUGGGGAAUAUUGCACAAUGGGCGGAAGCCUGAUGCAGCAACGCCGCGUGAGGGAUGACGGCCUUCGGGUUGUAAACCUCUUUUAGCAAGGAAGAAGCGAAAGUGACGGUACUUGCAGAAAAAGCGCCGGCUAACUACGU